RNAcentral lists this long non-coding RNA (217 nucleotides) under Salvia miltiorrhiza (redroot sage). RNAcentral's name for it is "long non-coding RNA (SMIL_LNC003637)". Lineage: Eukaryota; Viridiplantae; Streptophyta; Magnoliopsida; Lamiales; Lamiaceae. The record is from RNAcentral.
CUCUGAUUUCUCUAGAACACAAGAGUGCUUAGUUUUGCUAGCGAAGAACUAAUCGCUUGACACGGUCGCUAAAGUGUGGACUUGAUAGAGGGGAUACGCUUGGAUCCCUGCGAGCAACCGAUUGCUUCUAAUCCCGACAUCAACCGGAGUGCGAAAAGGUAUGAGAUUAUUUUCUCGCUCUCUCAUCAUGUUAACGUGAAGUCGUUAAUGUCGUUGG